GACGAACGCUGGCGGCGUGCUUAACACAUGCAAGUCGAACGGAAAGGCCCUGCUUUUGUGGGGUGCUCGAGUGGCGAACGGGUGAGUAACACGUGAGUAACCUGCCCUUGACUUUGGGAUAACUUCAGGAAACUGGGGCUAAUACCGGAUAGGAGCUCCUGCUGCAUGGUGGGGGUUGGAAAGUUUCGGCGGUUGGGGAUGGACUCGCGGCUUAUCAGCUUGUUGGUGGGGUAGUGGCUUACCAAGGCUUUGACGGGUAGCCGGCCUGAGAGGGUGACCGGCCAAAUUGGGACUGAGAUACGGCCCAGACUCCUCCGGGAGGCAGCAGUGGGGAAUAUUGCACAAUGGGCGGAAGCCUGAUGCAGCAACGCCGCGUGCGGGAUGACGGCCUUCGGGUUGUAAACCGCUUUCGCCUGUGACGAAGCGUGAGUGACGGUAAUGGGUAAAGAAGCACCGGCUAACUACGUG
Molecule: ribosomal RNA, 468 nt
Filed under: uncultured bacterium
Lineage: Bacteria
Description: partial 16S ribosomal RNA
Rfam family: Bacterial small subunit ribosomal RNA
Source: RNAcentral